CAACAGGGAUUGCCCUAGUAACGGCGAGUGAAGCGGCAACAGCUCAAAUUUGAAAUCUGGCUCUCGGGCCCGAGUUGUAAUUUGUAGAGGAUGCUUUUGGUGCGGUGCCUUCCGAGUUCCCUGGAACGGGACGCCAUAGAGGGUGAGAGCCCCGUCUGGUUGGAUGCCAAUCCUCUGUAAAGCUCCUUCGACGAGUCGAGUAGUUUGGGAAUGCUGCUCUAAAUGGGAGGUAUAUGUCUUCUAAAGCUAAAUACCGGCCAGAGACCGAUAGCGCACAAGUAGAGUGAUCGAAAGAUGAAAAGAACUUUGAAAAGAGAGUUAAAAAGUACGUGAAAUUGUUGAAAGGGAAGCGCUUGUGACCAGACUUGGGCUUGGUUGAUCAUCCAGGGUUCUCCCUGGUGCACUCUUCCGGCCCAGGCCAGCAUCAGUUUGCCCCGGGGGACAAAGGCGCCGGGAAUGUGGCUCUCUCCGGGGAGUGUUAUAGCCCGGCGUGCAAUACCCUGAGGCGGACUGAGGUUCGCGCAUUCGCAAGGAU
Molecule: ribosomal RNA, 535 nt
Filed under: Fusarium helgardnirenbergiae
Lineage: Eukaryota; Fungi; Ascomycota; Sordariomycetes; Hypocreales; Nectriaceae
Description: partial large subunit ribosomal RNA
Rfam family: Eukaryotic large subunit ribosomal RNA
Source: RNAcentral